This is an unclassified non-coding RNA of Cavia aperea (Brazilian guinea pig), 101 nucleotides long. It matches the Rfam family "Y RNA". From Rfam's summary of the family: Y RNAs are components of the Ro ribonucleoprotein particle (Ro RNP), in association with Ro60 and La proteins. The Y RNAs and Ro60 and La proteins are well conserved, but the function of the Ro RNP is not known. The record is from Ensembl. Lineage: Eukaryota; Metazoa; Chordata; Mammalia; Rodentia; Caviidae.
GGCUGGUCCGAUGGCAGUGGGUUAUCAGAACUUAUUAACAUUAGUGUCACUAAAGUUGGUAACAACCCCCCCACCCCACUGUUAAAUUUGACUGGCUUAAA